This 421-nucleotide ribosomal RNA is filed under the name uncultured cyanobacterium. RNAcentral describes it as "bacterial SSU rRNA". It matches the Rfam family "Bacterial small subunit ribosomal RNA", at positions 359 to 795 of the family's 1533-position model. Lineage: Bacteria; Bacillati; Cyanobacteriota. The record is from RNAcentral.
GAAUUUUCCGCAAUGGGCGAAAGCCUGACGGAGCAAUACCGCGUGAGGGAGGAAGGCUCUUGGGUUGUAAACCUCUUUUCUCAGGGAAGAAGAAAUGACGGUACCUGAGGAAUAAGCAUCGGCUAACUCCGUGCCAGCAGCCGCGGUAAUACGGAGGAUGCAAGCGUUAUCCGGAAUGAUUGGGCGUAAAGGGUCCGCAGGUGGCAUUGAAAGUCUGCUGUUAAAGAGUCUAGCUCAACUAGAUAAGAGCAGUGGAAACUACAAAGCUAGAGUUUGGUCGGGGCAGAAGGAAUUCCUGGUGUAGCGGUGAAAUGCGUAGAUAUCAGGAAGAACACCAGUGGCGAAGGCACUCUGCUGGGCCGACACUGACACUGAGAGACGAAAGCUAGGGGAGCGAAUGGGAUUAGAUACCCCAGUAGUC